GCAAACUUGGUCAUUUAGAGGAAGUAAAAGUCGUAACAAGGUUUCCGUAGGUGAACCUGCGGAAGGAUCAUUACAGUGCCUGCGGGGCGUGGGGUGAUCCCCGCGUCCCGCGACCUGGCCACCCGUGUCUACCUUACCUCUGUUGCCUUGGCGGGCCCGUCCCGGGGGAGUCCCCCGGGACCGCCAGAGUGCGUACCCACGAGCGUGCCCACGCUCCCGGGACGGCGCCGCGGCCCGCGCCCGCCAAGUGUACCGGUGAACCCUUGCGAAGUAGUGUCGUCUGAGUUGAUGUGGAAUGUCACAAAACUUUCAACAACGGAUCUCUUGGUUCCAGCAUCGAUGAAGAACGCAGC
RNAcentral lists this unclassified non-coding RNA (353 nucleotides) under uncultured fungus. RNAcentral describes it as "partial contains small subunit ribosomal RNA, internal transcribed spacer 1, and 5.8S ribosomal RNA". The stretch from base 1 to 73 matches the Rfam family "Eukaryotic small subunit ribosomal RNA", at positions 1759 to 1831 of the family's 1831-position model. Lineage: Eukaryota; Fungi. The record is from RNAcentral.